AUUGAACGCUGGCGGCAGGCCUAACACAUGCAAGUCGAACGGUAACAGGAAGAAGCUUGCUUCUUUGCUGACGAGUGGCGGACGGGUGAGUAAUGUCUGGGAAACUGCCUGAUGGAGGGGGAUAACUACUGGAAACGGUAGCUAAUACCGCAUAACGUCGCAAGACCAAAGAGGGGGACCUUCGGGCCUCUUGCCAUCGGAUGUGCCCAGAUGGGAUUAGCUUGUCGGUGGGGUAACGGCUCACCAAGGCGACGAUCCCUAGCUGGUCUGAGAGGAUGACCAGCCACACUGGAACUGAGACACGGUCCAGACUCCUACGGGAGGCAGCAGUGGGGAAUAUUGCACAAUGGGCGCAAGCCUGAUGCAGCCAUGCCGCGUGUAUGAAGAAGGCCUUCGGGUUGUAAAGUACUUUCAGCGGGGAGGAAGGGAGUAAAGUUAAUACCUUUGCUCAUUGACGUUACCCGCAGAAGAAGCACCGGCUAACUCCGUG
Molecule: ribosomal RNA, 490 nt
Filed under: uncultured bacterium
Lineage: Bacteria
Description: partial 16S ribosomal RNA
Rfam family: Bacterial small subunit ribosomal RNA
Source: RNAcentral